RNAcentral lists this ribosomal RNA (253 nucleotides) under uncultured bacterium. RNAcentral's name for it is "partial 16S ribosomal RNA". It matches the Rfam family "Bacterial small subunit ribosomal RNA", at positions 524 to 776 of the family's 1533-position model. The record is from RNAcentral.
UACGUAGGGUGCAAGCGUUGUCCGGAAUUAUUGGGCGUAAAGAGCUCGUAGGCGGUCUGUCGCGUCUGGUGUGAAAAUCCAGGGCUUAACCCUGGACCUGCAUCGGGUACGGGCAGACUAGAGUGCGGUAGGGGAGAUCGGAAUUCCUGGUGUAGCGGUGAAAUGCGCAGAUAUCAGGAGGAACACCGGUGGCGAAGGCGGGUCUCUGGGCCGAUACUGACGCUGAGGAGCGAAAGCGUGGGGAGCGAACAGG